Rosa rugosa (rugosa rose) is the source of this 1987-nucleotide long non-coding RNA. RefSeq lists it as uncharacterized. Lineage: Eukaryota; Viridiplantae; Streptophyta; Magnoliopsida; Rosales; Rosaceae. The record is from RefSeq and is a predicted model, not a curated record. The transcript has 15 exons.
GUUCCUCCAGAAGCUUCCCGGACCGACUUUUUUGCUCUCUCUUUUCUUCCUCCUGCUUUCUAAACAGCCUCCUUCACUCCCUCAGCCUUCUUCCUCCAGAAGUCUCUAUCUACACCGACGUCAUCUCCUCGAGUCUUCCAGAAUCCAGACUAUCAUCAUCAGCUGCAACUCCCUCUUUCGCUGUCCCAAAACUGAACGAUACACCAGAAUUGAUAUCAUCCCAAAAUAUUUUUCGAAUCCAUCAAUCGUAUCUUACCGGACCAGAAAAAUUAACUCUCCCCAAAUCUCUGUAAUCGGUUAUUUCCAGGGUGUCUGGGUUCGAUCAAACAUCUCUAAUCUUCGUUGAAGAUCCGCGGCUCCACCGGAAGUCUCCGAUUCGGUUAUUUUCUGAUAAGCCUGGACUAUCAAGGUUAGCCACUAAGAUCAACAGCGAUAAAGCCUUUUUUCUUUUGGGAUUUUGUUGUUCGCCCAACACAGAGAAACAGAGAGAGAAGAGAACGGGGAAGAAGGAAAAGAAGGAGAAGAGAGAGACGGGAAGCUCUUGCUUAAAAGAAAACAAGUGAAAGGAUUGGAUGCUUCAAAAUUGAAUACUUGAUCAUAAAGAGUUGUGCUCACUACUACUGUUCCUCUUUCAAGUGAAUUCUCUCUCAGAUCAUCUGUGUUCCAGCAUCAUCAGACUCCUAUUCAAUCUUCAGCAUCAGAGAUCUUUGCAAUCAUCGUCUGCUCUUUGCAUCCGACUUCUAUUCGAUCUUUACCAUCUGUUCUUUUUGUUUAAUCUUGGUGACUGGAUUGGUUUUGGGUAGACGAAGCUUGGGGCCAGCAAGCCUGUUCAGAUUUGCCAUUUAUCAAUUUCCCAAUUUUCAAGGACAGUUUCAGAUUGGAUUGUGGUUUGCAGAAGCCUGAGGGCAUUUUCGAUCACUGUUGACCUUCCAUAAGUCUUUAUAAGAGAUCAACCACUCAGAUACAAAAGACAAGACGGCAAAUCAGAUUGUGUGCGUUUUGGAAAAGCAAAAAAAAUUCUCUACACAUGCUCACAAAAAAAAACUUGGCUGACCAAAACAGAAUUAGCAGGAGGCUACCUGAAACUAAUCAAUUUACAUCUAGAAGAAAAAUGGGCCACACUCUGAUUCGUGAAAUCAAAGCAUCUCAAUUGAAUUUCAACUCCCAAAUUAAAAUUCCACUGAUAGUCUGAGAGGAAGAUUUGACUAAAAUCAAAUAGAAAAGGAGCUUACUGAUUCAGCGAAGCACAAUAGAACGGCUUUGAGUCUGAGUUUAUUUGAGGAUCUUCACUUACAGAGGUUGCUCUCUAGAAAAAGAGAGGAGACAAAACAAAGAGUGAGAGAAGAGAACAGGGAAUAAGGAAAAGAAGCAGAAGAGAGAGGCGGAAAGUUGUUACUCAAAACAAAACAAGUGGAAGGUAUCAAGUGCUCGACAAACCAAGAGAGGCCAACACCUUAUGAAAUGAUUAUCUAAAAGCAUCAAAAGAGCAUUCUACCUGCAACCACUCUUUAGCUGGAGACUGAAACGCAAGACACACCUAAAGAAUAGUUUAUCCCUUGAGUCAAAAAAUGUCUUGGUUGUAUCUAAGCAGACCAUUCUACUUGGUGUGGAGGUAGUGCAGUAGCUGCUCAUGUUCUACAACUGCAGCAAUUGGAUGUUCACUGAUACACAGAAUUGGAAGCUUAAGAUAUUGCGCUCCAAGGAACUUCAUAAUAACAAGCCAAACCGCUAAUUUUCGAGCCAACAUCCAUCAAACAGUUCUCAUUAUUGUCUUUCAUCUAUUGCUUUAUUAGACGAUACAUACCAAGUUUGAUUUGAAGUUAUUGAUUCCAGUGAGAAAUUCGUGUAACAUAUUUUAAUCAUUCUUUAAUGAAGGUGUGCAACAGAAACAUUCUACUAUGUAAUGUUAUCCCAGUAACAUAUAACAGUAAUUCCCGCAGCAAAGCGCGGGCAAAUAUUACUAGUAUUAUACAGUAAUCUUUCAUGA